GACGAACGCUGGCGGCGUGCCUAACACAUGCAAGUCGAACGGUCAAACGCGUACCUUUUUCGUGUGUGUGUAUCAGUGGCGAACGGGGGAGUAACACGUGAGUAACCUGCUCCCUCCUUCUUGAUAACCGCAUGAAAGUGUGGCUACUGCGGGAUAUUCUGGGUCUGUCGCAUCAUGGGUCUGAGAAGGAUAUUGUUUCGGUGAGAGAUGGGCUCGCGGCCUAUCAGCUAGUUGGUGAGGUGAUGGCCUACCAAGGCGGCGAUGGGUAGCCGGCCUGAGAGGGGGGUCGACGGUAACAGAGGGGCGGAGAGACGGAGAAGACUACUAGGGGAGGCAGUAGUGGGGAAUACGGCAUGAGGGGAGGAAGGCUGAUGCAGCGACGCCGCAGGGGUGAUGGUCGUCGGCUGGUUGAAAACUGCUUUUGGGAGAGAAGAAGGCCUGCCGCGUCUGUGGGUGGGUUGACGGUAGCUGGAUAAGAAGCGACGGCUAACUACGUG
Molecule: ribosomal RNA, 497 nt
Filed under: uncultured bacterium
Lineage: Bacteria
Description: partial 16S ribosomal RNA
Rfam family: Bacterial small subunit ribosomal RNA
Source: RNAcentral